CUUUUGCUGGCGACCGGCGCACGGGUGAGUAACACGUAUCCAACCUGCCCUUUACUCGGGGAUAGCCUUUCGAAAGAAAGAUUAAUACCCGAUAGCAUAAUGAUUCCGCAUGGUUUCAUUAUUAAAGGAUUCCGGUAAAGGAUGGGGAUGCGUUCCAUUGGGUUGUUGGUGAGGUAACGGCUCACCAAGCCUUCGAUGGAUAGGGGUUCUGAGAGGAAGGUCCCUCACAUUGGAACUGAGACACGGUCCAA
RNAcentral lists this ribosomal RNA (251 nucleotides) under uncultured bacterium. RNAcentral describes it as "partial 16S ribosomal RNA". It matches the Rfam family "Bacterial small subunit ribosomal RNA", at positions 78 to 334 of the family's 1533-position model. The record is from RNAcentral.